AUUGAACGCUGGCGGCAGGCCUAACACAUGCAAGUCGAACGAGUGGCGGACGGGUGAGUAAUGUCUGGGAAACUGCCUGAUGGAGGGGGAUAACUACUGGAAACGGUAGCUAAUACCGCAUACCAUCGGAUGUGCCCAGAUGGGAUUAGCUAGUAGGUGGGGUAAAGGCUCACCUAGGCGACGAUCCCUAGCUGGUCUGAGAGGAUGACGAGCCACAAUGGAACUGAGACACGGGCCAGACUCCGAUGGGAGGCAGCAGUGGGGAAUAUUGCACAAUGGGCGAAAGCCGGAUGCAGGCAUUCCGCGUGUAUGAGGAAGGCCUUAGCGUUGUAAAGUACUUUCAGCGGGGAGGCGUUACCCGCAGAAGAAUCACCGGCUAACUCCGUGCCAGCAGCCGCGGUAAUAC
Molecule: ribosomal RNA, 406 nt
Filed under: uncultured bacterium
Lineage: Bacteria
Description: partial 16S ribosomal RNA
Rfam family: Bacterial small subunit ribosomal RNA
Source: RNAcentral